Balaenoptera ricei (Rice's whale) is the source of this 656-nucleotide long non-coding RNA. RefSeq lists it as uncharacterized. The record is from RefSeq and is a predicted model, not a curated record. Lineage: Eukaryota; Metazoa; Chordata; Mammalia; Artiodactyla; Balaenopteridae. The transcript is spliced from 4 exons.
GGCGUUCACGGCGGUCACCGGGGGCGCCUCCCGGCGCGGCGAGGCGGGCGCAGUCACGACGCCGUGACUGCCGGCCCCCCGGCCGCGGCCCCCCGACAACGAGGCUCCAGGGAGCCAGUGGGAACCAUUCCAGGAUCCCCCGGCUUGCGCCCCCAGAGGCGAGGAGCUAAUCCCGGAGAGAGAGGUGUCCCCUUUGGAGCUGAAAUGGGGUCCCGACGGCAGAGCAGGAACGCCAAGAGAGGCUGGAAGGGGUGACUUCGACGGCAGGUCCAGUCUCGACCGCAAGGUAUCAGGAAUCUGAAUAACUAAAGCACCACAGCAAGAACACAGCUGAGGAAAAACCACUUUCAUGAAGAUGUUCAUUCAGGUCAUACAAGGACAGAUGUGGUUCACGUGCAUGACACACUCCCCUGGGCAAACGCAGAUGAGCAGCUACAGCAUCACUAAAUAGACUGAGUUGCAGGCAUUUCCAGGCUUCCUGGCUACAGUGGCAUCUUUCUCCUCCAUCUAUGAAUGCAUCUGAGAAGCCAAAAAGAUGGUGGCUGCCUACAAGCCCAGAGAAGAGGCCUCAGAAUGAAACCUACCUUGCCAGCACCUUGAUCUUAGGCUUUCCAGCAUCCAGACUGUAAGAAAAUAAACUCCUGUUGUUUAAGCCA